Molecule: unclassified non-coding RNA, 953 nt
Filed under: Hevea brasiliensis (rubber tree)
Lineage: Eukaryota; Viridiplantae; Streptophyta; Magnoliopsida; Malpighiales; Euphorbiaceae
Source: RNAcentral
GUGGACGGAAAGCCUUUGCCUGUGACAUCCAUUGCAGGGGAUGAUCAAGAAAAAACGAGAGUGUGAUUUAAAGCAAACUUUGAUACAAGGGAUUUAUGUGAGAAUUAAAAUAACCCAUAGAACUGGAGACAACCACCUUUCGAUAUAGAAAAAAGGAUGAGAAAAUCCAUGGAUUUUGAUGAAUCCUUCAAAAUCAAAGAUUUGACACCAGCCCAGUAGGUGGGAUUUUGUGAAAUACCUCUCCCUCAACGUACGAAUUUCAUUAAAUUAUUCAAUAUUUCACUUCAAUUCCAUGGGUUUAAAUUGUAUUAAGAAACAUGGAAGAUUGUCCAAAUCCUGGAUUUGAAAAUAUAGGCAGCUUCACCCAUGAAUUUGAACAAUUCCAUGAGUUGUAAAAAAACAUCAUCAAAAAUAAGUAUCUGAUAGGGGAAUCAUGCAACAAAAGAACUCUCAAAGGAUUAAAACCAGUGCAUAGCCUAGGCCUUACAAGUAAUUUGAUAGUUGAUACAAUAACCAACUAAAAAGUAAUUUCAUGUAUUCCACCCAAAGUACUGAAUGAUGGCAAUGAUAUCUUAAAUAACAUCAUAAUAUAAAAUAAUUAAUGUUGGAUAAAACCAGCUUAAAAUGAAUGAAAACAUUACAAGAAUAUAGCAAUUGAAGGGUAGGGUCACAGUAGCAUCUUCUGGGCAUAGACCAAUAUUUUGAAUUCUUAAAAUCAAAUAAAUGGUGAGAGCAGAUCAAGGAAAGCUGGCUACAUCCUCCUUCAUUCCUUUUUCUGUUUGUCCAGAGCCAUCCAUAAUUAGGGUGCUUGAUAGAGAUGUUAUUGUUUCAGCAGGCCCAGGUGCUAUUACUCUUACAAGCCCAAGGCCAUUCAAAGUUUAUAUUAGAAGAAGGAAGGAAGGAAGAGACAAGGAGAGUACUACACAGCUGGAAAUGGACGUUGGAGAGAAAUA